RNAcentral lists this ribosomal RNA (1347 nucleotides) under uncultured bacterium. RNAcentral describes it as "partial 16S ribosomal RNA". It matches the Rfam family "Bacterial small subunit ribosomal RNA", at positions 28 to 1381 of the family's 1533-position model. The record is from RNAcentral.
GACGAACGCUGGCGGCGUGCUUAACACAUGCAAGUCGAACGGAAAGGCCCUGCUUUUGUGGGGUGCUCGAGUGGCGAACGGGUGAGUAACACGUGAGUAACCUGCCCUUGACUUUGGGAUAACUUCAGGAAACUGGGGCUAAUACCGGAUAGGAGCUCCUGCUGCAUGGUGGGGGUUGGAGAGUUUCGGCGGUUGGGGAUGGACUCGCGGCUUAUCAGCUUGUUGGUGGGGUAGUGGCUUACCAAGGCUUUGACGGGUAGCCGGCCUGAGAGGGUGACCGGCCACAUUGGGACUGAGAUACGGCCCAGACUCCUACGGGAGGCAGCAGUGGGGAAUAUUGCACAAUGGGCGGAAGCCUGAUGCAGCAACGCCGCGUGCGGGAUGACGGCCUUCGGGUUGUAAACCGCUUUCGCCUGUGACGAAGCGUGAGUGACGGUAAUGGGUAAAGAAGCACCGGCUAACUACGUGCCAGCAGCCGCGGUGAUACGUAGGGUGCGAGCGUUGUCCGGAUUUAUUGGGCGUAAAGGGCUCGUAGGUGGUUGAUCGCGUCGGAAGUGUAAUCUUGGGGCUUAACCCUGAGCGUGCUUUCGAUACGGGUUGACUUGAGGAAGGUAGGGGAGAAUGGAAUUCCUGGUGGAGCGGUGGAAUGCGCAGAUAUCAGGAGGAACACCAGUGGCGAAGGCGGUUCUCUGGGCCUUUCCUGACGCUGAGGAGCGAAAGCGUGGGGAGCGAACAGGCUUAGAUACCCUGGUAGUCCACGCUGUAAACGGUGGGUACUAGGUGUGGGGUCCAUUCCACGGGUUCCGUGCCGUAGCUAACGCUUUAAGUACCCCGCCUGGGGAGUACGGCCGCAAGGCUAAAACUCAAAGGAAUUGACGGGGCCCCGCACAAGCGGCGGAGCAUGCGGAUUAAUUCGAUGCAACGCGUAGAACCUUACCUGGGUUUGACAUGGAUCGGGAGUGCUCAGAGAUGGGUGUGCCUCUUUUGGGGUCGGUUCACAGGUGGUGCAUGGCUGUCGUCAGCUCGUGUCGUGAGAUGUUGGGUUAAGUCCCGCAACGAGCGCAACCCUUGUUCACUGUUGCCAGCACGUUAUGGUGGGGACUCAGUGGAGACCGCCGGGGUCAACUCGGAGGAAGGUGGGGAUGACGUCAAGUCAUCAUGCCCCCUUAUGUCCAGGGCUUCACGCAUGCUACAAUGGCUGGUACAGAGAGUGGCGAGCCUGUGAGGGUGAGCGAAUCUCGGAAAGCCGGUCUCAGUUCGGAUUGGGGUCUGCAACUCGACCUCAUGAAGUCGGAGUCGCUAGUAAUCGUAGAUCAGCAACGCUGCGGUGAAUACGUUCCCGGGGCU